CCUACGGGUGGCAGCAGUGAGGAAUAUUGGUCAAUGGGCGUAAGCCUGAACCAGCCAAGUCGCGUGAGGGAUGAAGGUUCUAUGGUUCGUAAACCUCUUUUAUAAGGGAAUAAAGUGCGGGACGCGUCCCGCUUUGUAUGUACCUUAUGAAUAAGGAUCGGCUAACUCCGUGCCAGCAGCCGCGGUAAUACGGAGGAUCCGAGCGUUAUCCGGAUUUAUUGGGUUUAAAGGGUGCGUAGGCGGCCUUUUAAGUCAGCGGUGAAAGUCUGUGGCUCAACCAUAGAAUUGCCGUUGAAACUGGCAGUCUUGAGUUUGUGUGAGGCAUGCGGAAUGCGUGGUGUAGCGGUGAAAUGCUUAGAUAUCGCGCAGAACCCCGAUUGCGAAGGUAGCCUGCCAGGUCCAGACUGACGCUGAUGCACGAAAGCGUGGGGAUCGAACAGGAUUAGAUACCCGAGUAGUC
RNAcentral lists this ribosomal RNA (460 nucleotides) under uncultured bacterium. RNAcentral describes it as "partial 16S ribosomal RNA". It matches the Rfam family "Bacterial small subunit ribosomal RNA", at positions 338 to 795 of the family's 1533-position model. The record is from RNAcentral.